GGAUGCGGCUCAGUGGUAGAGCACUUGCCUGGCAGGUGCAAGGCCCUGGGUUCCAUCCCCAGCACCA
RNAcentral lists this transfer RNA (67 nucleotides) under Marmota monax (woodchuck). Its description in RNAcentral is "tRNA.Ala". The record is from RNAcentral. Lineage: Eukaryota; Metazoa; Chordata; Mammalia; Rodentia; Sciuridae.